GUAGAAUUCCAUGUGUAGCAGUGAAAUGCGUAGAUAUAUGGAGGAAUACCAGUGGCGAAGGCGGCCUCCUGGCUCGACAUUGACGCUGAGGUGCGAAAGCGUGGGGAGCAAACGGGAUUAGAUACCCCGGUAGUCCACGCCGUAAACGAUGUCUACUAGCUGUAGGGGUACUUGAGACCUUUGUAGCGCAGCUAACGCAAUAAGUAGACCGCCUGGGGAGUACGGCCGCAAGGUUAAAACUCAAAUGAAUUGACGGGGGCCCGCACAAGCAGUGGAGCAUGUGGUUUAAUUCGAUGCAACGCGAAGAACCUUACCAGGCCUUGACAUCCCCGGAACUUUCUAGAGAUAGAUUGGUGCCUUCGGGAACCGGGUGACAGGUGCUGCAUGGCUGUCGUCAGCUCGUGUCGUGAGAUGUUGGGUUAAGUCCCGUAACGAGCGCAACCCUUGUCCUUAGUUGCCAGCACAUUAUGGUGGGAACUCUAAGGAGACUGCCGGUGACAAACCGGAGGAAGGUGGGGACGACGUCAAGUCAUCAUGGCCCUUACGGCCUGGGCUACACACGUGCUACAAUGGCUAGGACAGACGGCUGCAAACCAGCGAUGGGAAGCUAAUCCGACAAACCUAGUCGUAGUCCGGAUUGGAGUCUGCAACUCGACUCCAUGAAGUCGGAAUUGCUAGUAAUCGCGAAUCAGAAUGUCGCGGUGAAUACGUUCCCGGGCCUUGUACACACCGCCCGUCACACCAUGGGAGUGGGUUGCUCCAGAAGUGGUUAGUCUAACCUUCGGGAGGACGAUCACCACGGAGUGAUUCAUGACUGGGGUGAAGUCGUAACAAGGUAGCCCU
Molecule: ribosomal RNA, 843 nt
Filed under: marine metagenome
Description: bacterial SSU rRNA
Rfam family: Bacterial small subunit ribosomal RNA
Source: RNAcentral